ACUCCAUGAUGAGGGCACUUCCGUAAUAACUAUUUGUACCUUUCCCAUUCCUCAUAAAAUGACUCAUCAUUUAUUUGUUGUAAGACAGUGAUCUCAUUCCUCAACUU
Molecule: non-coding RNA, 107 nt
Organism: Gossypium hirsutum (cotton)
Lineage: Eukaryota; Viridiplantae; Streptophyta; Magnoliopsida; Malvales; Malvaceae
Source: Rfam